Paramuricea clavata is the source of this 468-nucleotide non-coding RNA. Lineage: Eukaryota; Metazoa; Cnidaria; Anthozoa; Malacalcyonacea; Plexauridae. The record is from the annotation of a GenBank genome assembly.
UAUUUCUGCACAUAUAUUUAGGAAGCUAGACAAGGAUUAGAUUCAGCUCAAAAUGCUGCAGCAACAGCUACAAGUGAAGAAGAUAAAGCUGAGGCUCUUAUUGCAGCUGAAUGUUAUGAAGCUAUUAUUAAAAGUUUGGAGAGUCAUUGAAAUCUUACUGAACUUUAGUUUAGGUAAGCAACCAAGUCGAGUCUUUAAAGAGUAUCUCAGUUCUAGUACAAUCUGUACACGUUCUUUUAUGGGACAAUUUUAUAGAUAAUUUAGAUGCCUAUAGUGAACUUCAGAUGAUUAAAGGUGAAGAUGAUUAAUCUCUUUCUCUUGCAGAUAUGUACGAUCAAGUUUUAUAUGGAGGACAUUUGUUGAACAAAAUAAAUAUAUAAUUUAUGUUGAAAUGUUUCGUUCUCUCUUUUGUUUAUUUUACGAAGCUUAUAAUGGAAAGUUUAACCAUAAAUUCACCUAAUUGCCCCC